Molecule: ribosomal RNA, 593 nt
Filed under: Brettanomyces custersianus
Lineage: Eukaryota; Fungi; Ascomycota; Pichiomycetes; Pichiales; Pichiaceae
Description: eukaryotic LSU rRNA
Rfam family: Eukaryotic large subunit ribosomal RNA
Source: RNAcentral
GAGGAAAAGAAACCAACAGGGAUUGCCUCAGUAAUGGCGAACGAAGCGGCAACAGCCCAAAUUUGAAAUCUGGCGUAAGCCCGAGUUGUAAUUUGGAGGUAGACUAUUUGGGUGUCUGUGUCAACUAAGUGCCUUGGAAUAGGCCGCCGUAGAGGGUGAGAGCCCCGUGAGUUGACUAGCAGUUAUUCAGUUUGUCUUCCGACGAGUCGAGUUGUUUGGGAUUGCAGCUCUAAGUGGGUGGUAUAUUCCAUCUAAGGCUAAAUAAUAGCGAGAGACCGAUAGCAAACAAGUACAGUGAUGGAAAGAUGAAAAGAACUUUGAAAAGAGAGUGAAAUAGUACGUGAAAUUGUUGAAAGGGAAGGGUAUCUGAUCCGACGUGGUAUUUAGAUGUCGCCUGCCCUUGUGGCGGGUGCUCCAUUUUUUUACUGGGCCAGCGUGAGUUAGAAGGGGAUGAAAAGGCGGGAACGAAUGUAGCCUUCCUCCCUUUGGGAGAGGGGUGUUAUAACAUUCCUGUUUAGUUCCUUUCUGACUGAGGUCCGCGGUUUUUUAUUACCAAGGACGCUGGCAGAACGAGCAGAUACCGCCCGUCUUGA